AGAGUUUGAUUCUGGCUCAGAACGAACGCUGGCGGCGUGGAUAAGACAUGCAAGUUGAGCGAUGAACUGACGAUAGCAAUAUCUGACGGGAUUAGCAGCGAACGGGUGAGUAACACGUAGGAAUCUGCCCCAAAGUUCGGAAUAGCCUGGCGAAAGUCAGGGUAAUACCGGAUGUGAUCUUCGGAUUAAAGGCUUCGGUCGCUUUGGGAUGAGCCUGCGUUCCAUCAGCUUGUUGGUAGGGUAAAAGCCUACCAAGGCGAAGACGGAUAGCUGGUCUGAGAGGACGGUCAGCCACAAUGGAACUGAGACACGGUCCAUACACCUACGGGUGGCAGCAGUCGAGAAUCAUUCGCAAUGGACGAAAGUCUGACGGUGCGACGCCGCGUGGGGGAUGAAGGCCUUAGGGUCGUAAACCUCUGUCGGGUGCGAGUAAGGGUAUACAUUACGGCAUACUUAGAUAUUAGCACCAAAGGAAGGGACGGCUAACUCCGUGCCAGCAGCCGCGGUAAUACGGAGGUCCCAAGCGUUGUUCGGAUUCACUGGGCGUAAAGCGUGCGUAGGCGGAGAAAUAAGUUUGGCGUGAAAGCCCCGGGCCUAACCCGGAAAUUGCGUUGAAAACUAUUUCCCUAGAGGAUUGGAGGGGAGACUGGAAUUCCUGGUGUAGCAGUGAAAUGCGUAGAUAUCAGGAGGAACACCGGUGGCGAAGGCGAGUCUCUGGACAAUUCCUGACGCUGAGGUACGAAGGCUAGGGUAGCGAAAAGGAUUAGAUACCCUUGUAGUCCUAGCAGUAAACGGUGUGCACUUGCUGUAGGCGGAUUCGACCCCGCCUGUGGCGAAGCUAACGCGUUAAGUGCACCGCCUGGGGAGUACGGUCGCAAGAUUAAAACUCAAAGAAAUUGACG
RNAcentral lists this ribosomal RNA (902 nucleotides) under marine metagenome. Its description in RNAcentral is "bacterial SSU rRNA". It matches the Rfam family "Bacterial small subunit ribosomal RNA", at positions 8 to 915 of the family's 1533-position model. The record is from RNAcentral.